UGCUUCCAGCUCUGAGCUCUUUAACUGGAAGUGGAGGCUGAGUUGUAAGCUGCCCCCUCCCCGUUCUGCCCCCACCCACUUCUUUCUCGCCCUCACAGUUUUCCUAACUCAGGGCUUUUGGGCUUGCUGUUCCCUAGUUGGAAUGCUAUUCUUCACAUCUUCAAGUACUUGGCUCCUUCUCGUCAUUUAUAGCUCAGCUUAAUGGUUACCUCCUUAUCGAGGCCUCUCUGACCAUCCAAGCUGGAGCCCUGGCUGCCGGAGAGGAAGGGUGCCUGUUCCCCCAUUCCAACGAGGAGGCUAGGGGUCAGCACAGCUUGGAUCACGUGUCCACUUGCACAGCCCAAGGGUGAACAGCAUAACAGGCCGAUCAUAAUUUUGAUUUCCUAUCCCAAACCCAAAUGGCCCUAACUUGCGAGAGAAAGCAGUUCCUGUGGAUGAACAAGCGAAGCGCGUGGGUGCCGAGAUGCUCCUGUCGGACACAAAAGCCCCUCUGUGGCUCUGUGGGAGCCGGCCCCUCCCACCGCUCCGCACGGAGAAAGGGCACGCACUGAGCUCGCGCUCUGCUUCACUCGCCCGGAUUUGUAAACAACCGAAGCAUAACACAAACAAGUUGGGGUUUUUUUAGCUUGCUGGUGUUUUUAA
Molecule: long non-coding RNA, 642 nt
Organism: Phyllostomus hastatus (greater spear-nosed bat)
Lineage: Eukaryota; Metazoa; Chordata; Mammalia; Chiroptera; Phyllostomidae
Exons: 3
Source: RefSeq, a predicted model, not a curated record